This 212-nucleotide unclassified non-coding RNA is filed under the name uncultured Marasmius. RNAcentral describes it as "sequence contains ITS1". Lineage: Eukaryota; Fungi; Basidiomycota; Agaricomycetes; Agaricales; Tricholomataceae. The record is from RNAcentral.
UUGAAACAUUGUAAAGGAAAGUUGAGCUGGCUCUUCACGGGCAUGUGCUUGCUUUUCUUUCAAUCUUCAUCCACCUGUGCACUUUUUGUAGAGAGUUUGAGAAAGAGACCGUCAGGUUUCAAGUAUCGGGCUUUCUAUGUAUUUACAAACUCUGAAUGUAUGUCGUUGAAUGUCUUUUACAAGGUACUUAAUUGAACCUUUUAAAAACUAUA